GUAAGUUCUUAUAAUUCAGAUGUUUAAAUGUUCAAUUUGAAAGUAUUUUUUACUCGGUGUAAUGAUUUUGCUGUUUUUACUCAGUGUAAUUUCGCACGUUAUUAUCUAAACAAAUCGCAUGUUUAUAAUUGAGCUCCGUUUCGAGGCAAGUUGCACGUUAUUAUCUAGCGAUUGUCAUUAUUUAUCAUGUUCCAAAAUAUAGAACGUUCAUAUGAAAGAACAAAUGGCGUCGAUUGUUAAAACAUUCACUUGACCAUCCAUUAACUUUUUUUUAAUGUGUUGUCAUCUUACCCUUGCUUUGUAAAAUAUUUAAAUGGCAUCGCUUUGAUCUUUCAACUUUGAGUCACUAUAUGCUAUGAAUUCAGGUUUUUUUUGGCAGUUUUGGUCGUUGCCCGCACCCACCCCAUCGGUUUAGAUUCGGGUCCAUCUCCCUUUUUACGUCAAGUGAAUCACUUGGUGUUAUAAAUGUGUGAUUUUGUUUUGGUGGUCGUUGGUUUGCUACUUAGCAUGUUUUUACGGUGUUAUGUCCCUAGUCCAAAAAUGUGGGGGGCUUAGUUUUAGUAUACACAGUAUAAUUUAUCGACAUUUUAGCUACAAUUAUUUUGUGCUGUUGUGAAUUUUUUAUCUUUUUUGUGUAUUUUUUUUUAUCUUUUGUCUAUUUUUUGGUUUUUGUUUUUCUUUUUAAGUUCCAAUCGAACUUGUAUUUGUACAAGUAACAAAACAAACAGUCUAAUACUGGCAGAAUAACGUCAAUUAGGAAUUAAUAUUCGUUUUUUUUUCAAUAGAUAUAAACACAUCUCGGUAUUUUUUGGUAUUAUCAUUAUUUUUAAUUUGUUUCUCUCGGUAAGUGCCGGUAUCUUAAUGAACCAAACCAAUACCAAACAAACUCCGAUCAUUGACGUUAUUUUUACUAUUGUGUCUACAUUUCCAUUAAAAAUAAGGGUCACCCCGCAACAGAACACAGCUAUAACCAACUAGUUAUGACAAAAAUAGAGAAGUUCAUCAGAUAGGAGCGAAAGACUAAAUAAUUUCUAAUCACAGACAGUCAUUUGAACUAUGCAAUUGAUCAUCAUUUGAACUUCUCAAUCUUCAUAAAACAAGAAAACCAAAAACUUAUAAAAAAAACAUGAAAACAAAAAGCCUCAGAAGGAAGAAGGAAGGCAGUAGAAAUAACGUAAUCAUAAUUUUUCAUACAUUACGCAAAUAUAGUACUAAUCAUCAUUGGCUUAAAAAUUAAUAAAACAAUAAAAAACAAACAAUUUACAAAAUGAAAACCAGUGGCCUUAUAGAGAAGAUUAGAAUUAACAACACGGUUUAGUUCAGACAUAUGCUUGUCAUUAUUUAGAAUUUAAUCAUCGGCCAUAUUUUAAAAACAUAUUUCCAACAUAAAAUAAAAAAAAAUUCAAAUUAAAAAAAAAAUGGGCUCAGUUUAUGGGUGGUGAUAUAACAGAAUGGUCGGCAAGGUGAUUGUUAGUCACCGUUACGACGAACGAGACCUUAUCACUUGACAUCGUCAUUGCCCCUUUUUUUUCAGGAAACACAAAAUAAUAACGAUUCAAACAGAAUCAGAAAACAAAAAGAUAGAUCGUGAAAGAUGUAUCCAGAAGCAAAGAAAAGAG
Molecule: long non-coding RNA, 1619 nt
Filed under: Helianthus annuus (common sunflower)
Lineage: Eukaryota; Viridiplantae; Streptophyta; Magnoliopsida; Asterales; Asteraceae
Description: hypothetical non coding rna
Source: RNAcentral